GCAGGGAGACGUUUUCUGACGGCUGGAGAAAGGAAAUCACUUCAGCUGUUUGAUCAGGUCAUCAACAACAUGUACAUCUAUCUUCCAUGUCAACAACAGAGACACAGAACAACAACCAGGUUAAAGAAGCAAGAAAA
Long non-coding RNA from Sander lucioperca (pikeperch), 137 nucleotides. RefSeq lists it as uncharacterized. The record is from RefSeq and is a predicted model, not a curated record. Lineage: Eukaryota; Metazoa; Chordata; Actinopteri; Perciformes; Percidae. The transcript has 3 exons.